Molecule: transfer RNA, 86 nt
Filed under: Chitinophagaceae bacterium IBVUCB1
Lineage: Bacteria; Pseudomonadati; Bacteroidota; Chitinophagia; Chitinophagales; Chitinophagaceae
Also listed under: 4 other names
Rfam family: tRNA
About the family: Transfer RNA (tRNA) molecules are approximately 80 nucleotides in length.
Source: Rfam by way of RNAcentral
GCCCUGGUGGUGGAAUUGGUAGACGCGCAGGACUUAAAAUCCUGUAUGCAGCAAUGCGUGUGCGGGUUCAAGUCCCGCCCGGGGCA